CAGAAACAUGAGACUGUAGGAGUAUAGCUGGGGAUUCAUGAAAUGGGGGAGAGAGGUAAGGUGAAACAGUAAAUAUCUUGGGGGAGAAAUGGGGCACUAGGUAUAUGGGGAGAACUGUCGAUAUUGUUGUCAGAGCUGUCACGGGCUGGCUUAUUGAGUGGGGAAGAUGUAGGUUAAUUAAUCCUGCUGCUUCUGGAAUCAUUUAUUAAAUUACAUGCAGCUUCUGUACUAGAAAAAUUGGCUGGUAUAUACCUGGAUGGCAUAUUGGUAGGGCAGGCUUUACACAGGAGUGGCUUUGAAAUACAAGAGGGGCAUCAAAGGACCUUGUUUUUUUCUUUUCUUCAUGGUGGGCAAAUAGGCAAUGAGUCAGUUCAGCUAAAGGGAAUGAUUUAGUGAUUGAUCUAAGUGUCAGGUCUGAAAUCACUGCUGUAGACUCCUUGAAACUACAAGGUCGUCUCAGCCUUUCAUCGUUCCAGGGAAGAAAAAUUGAGUGCCAUGCAGUUACCACAUCUGCUCCUCUGACUGAGGCCUUUAAAAAUGAAGGCCUAUACCUUCUACAUAGAUUUGAAAUAAUCUGAGGUACCUGCCAGAAUGGUGAAAAUCUUGCUCAUGUUUUCACACCCUCAGAGUUACAAAGCAAAUGGCAUGCCAGAGGUACGAACAUGAACCUGACUCCAGCCAAUAAGUAUAUUAGAAAUAGCUCUGUAAUAUAUGUGUUACAUUACAAAUGAACACACAUGCUUUACACUGAAAAAUGGGAGGCACUGUUAAUACCAGUACUAGACAUUAGUUCUCUGCUUUCUAUACAAAUAGAUUUUCAAACCACUGAGCUCAAAUGGUAAUGUGAGCUCAUCUAAAGUCAUACAUUUGUGUUUUCAUGAAUUACCAUGUUCAGAGAGAAUACCCUGGCUGAAACCACCCAGACAGCACUGCUCAUCAGCUCUGUGCUGGCUCGGUGUGUCAGAGCGAACUGCACGGGGGCAAACAAGGAGUCAAAACAAAUCUCUUAUUGCUGAAGGUUACCUUGCCACUAUCUAUUUCUGUUUCUUGUCUGUACACAUAGGUUACAAUGAGGCCCUUUUCCAUGGCUGAGGCUGGAACAUACUGCAGCAACUGUACCUUCACUGUGGCACUAAUAACAACCACUGGCUUCCACAAGUAUUCCCUUCUUUCUGAUACUUCCUGGACAAGGAGCCUCUCAUACAAACAAGCGACCACUGAAAAAACAAUGUCACUAAUCAGUAAAAAGUGCAACAAGCCACAUGCAGCAGGGCAAUGCAUGUGCUCUGCAAAGUGCAGUUCUGGCUGGGGAGAGUUUGGUAGGUCUGGAGAGCCCAAAGAAUCCAAGCUGACAAACCUAAACGAAAGGAUUAUCUCCCACCUCCAAGACCUCAGCGCUAUAUUCAUCAAAUGCAUAAUUAUGCACAGAAUUAUAAAUUUAAGGAUUAAAUGUCACUCUUCACUCGAAGCUACUGUGUUUUGCCAUUCCUUGAAAAAGGACAGUGUCUCACAUUGAGCUGUACUUAAAGUUCAGUAGAUACUGAAAUUGGUAGAUAAUGAAAUAUUUUGCUGAAUCCUUCCCAUUUUUGGAAAGCAAUAAAUUUUGCUGUUUGGAUUAAUUAUUAUUGUGGUUUUUUUUUCUGCAGGAGAUUUGUUUCUACAGCCUCAGUGUCACGAUACUGUUUUUCUCAUUUUCAGGAGAGAGUUCACAUUUAUCUGGAAAGUAGCUAGCAUUGGGACUAACGAGAAACAUCUGAGAAAUGCUGCUUUAUUAUUACAGUAGUGCCAAAAAACCUGAAACAAAAUAAACCAGAUUCUUUUUAGGGUAUGAACUAUUCUGCAUUAUAGGAGGUGCUCCACACUACUUUAACAGAGUCAGAGAAUCCAAACAGAUCAUCUUCUGCUUUUCUAUAUAUCUCAUUAUUUGUCAUUUGUGAGACAUCAGUUAGCUGCUGGUUUAUUUGAGAUGACCUUAAUAACCUACAGAAUAUAAUUUAAUUUAUUUUAAGUAAGUAAUUUUGCAAAAAAUGGUUCUGAAAUGAUAUGAGAGAUAAACUUUCCUUAGUCACUAAUGCAGUAUUUAAAAUGUUUGAGUGAUCAAAUCAGAAGAUAAAAAUAAUAAACAUUUGACUCCCAUGGCCAACCAAAAAAAGAACUUUUUGAAUAAUCCAGAGAUAGUUUUGUGACUUGUUUAACUAAUAUAAAGAACCAUAUUAAAAGGGGAGACUGUCAGUGUUCGAGAGACAUUUGGAUAAUGCGGUUUCACACUGACAGAGAUGCAAAAUCAAUGAAAUGUCUAAAAUUAUGAACAUUAAAAAUAAGAAAAACACUACUUUGUUAAUUUAGCAUAGAGAAAUUAGAAUAUUAUAUAAUUGAAAACAGGUUAUUUUAAAAGGAAUGAUCUUUACUAAUCUGUACUCAGCAUCACUUUCAAAUAGGUUUUAGGCCAGUCACUUUCCUUAUUCCAUUUAAAAAUUUAUAUUUUUAUAUUUUAUUCUUUUAUUUAUACCCCAGAAAUGCUUCUGUUCUCAAAUUAACUUGUUAAGGCUAAAAACAGAUGAAACAGGGAAAGUUUAAUCAGGUAAAUGAGUAGUUUUCAGUGCAAAAGCAACAAAGUUCCCAUUGAGUUCAGGAGAGAUUAUUCUUUCCAGAGGAAGAAGGACCACAAAGUUUGUACCCUGCUAGCCAGUUGUCUUCAUGAUAUAGGACUUAAAAUGUAAACGAUGGCCAAAGUUAUGGUGAGAUUAAGCAAACUGAAAACCCGAGAUACAGAGAGAAAAAUAUCAAGGGGAGCUCAGCAAAACAGCCUAUUCACCAUGUUCUCAUCAAGAAGCUCUGCACAUGAACAUUGGGACUAUUCUUCAAAACAUCAAUUUUCAAUUAAAAAUCAAGGUAAGAUCCUGAAAGAUUCAGCAGAACAUAUCUUUCUGUAUGUUUUUCAUACAGCAGUAGAAAGUGAAAGAGUUGGGAAAUCAUUCAUAGCUGUUGCAAGUAGUCCAUACCCAAAGGGAUCAGCAAUAGUCUCACUGCCUAGAGCUUGAGCCAGAGUUGUACUUUAUUUCAUUCUUCACCUCCUCCAAAAAUGAGCCUCUUACUGAGCAACUGAGGAAUGUAACAAAGGCAAAGGUUUUGGAAUGAAUUUGAACUCUAAAGUUGCUUCCAACUCUGAAAAGCUCUUUAUUUCUUAUUAAAUUUAUGAGUUUUGGGGGAAUGGGCAGGAACAUUGUGCUCAGUAUGAGAAGGAGGAAAGAUGGAAAAAAUGUGCCACAGUCAGGUAUUAACAUAGCUCACUGUUCUGUUUCAUGUGCUUAAAACUAUGGCACUGUUGUCUGAUGCUGUGAAAUAAAAAUAUAGGCAUGAAGGUUUAAGGUAAGCUAACACACAGAAAGGAUGAUCGCAGAUGAAUUUUUACUCAGGAGAGCAAUACCAAUAGAAGGCAAUGGACCUGCUCAAGGAAUACAGUUACCCAUAAUGUUGUUUCUGUCACUGGACUCACAUAAUAGGGGUUCCCAUGUCAAAUAGGUGAUAGGACAGAAGCAUGCACACCAAGCAAUGACUGAUAGUGCUUAAUGAAGGCCAUGUGUAUUAGUAAGCCUGAGCACUGAGCACAGGAAAAGAGAGAUUUCUCCCUGCUUUUCUAAUGAUAUCUGAGAGCACGUUCUGUGUAAAGAAAUAUUUCUUUAGGAAAUAGCUGAUCAGAAUCCUUAGGAGAAAAAAAAAAAAAAAAAAAAAAAAAAACACGACUUUUCCAUUACUUCUGUCUUAGGUUAAAGGCAGUUUUGAUUUCUGCUGUUUCCCCAGAUUUCUUUAAAAAAAUUUCCAGACAUUCCCAUGGUGCUAAACUCAGGCCAACAUCUUAUAACAUUUUUCUGAACUGUUUAUAUCCUAAAUAGAGUAUGUUUCAGUUCAAAGGGUUUAAACCAAUUACGUUACACUCCUAGCCAAUACUCAGGACAUACAGGAAAGUCUUCCUGCUUCUGGUAGGAACAGAUGCAAGUAUUACUGUGGGCUGAGAAAAAAGUCUCCAAGUGCUAAUAAGUUUUCAUAAGUUACUGAUGAAUAUGUUUAAGUUGCACAAUCUAAUCUGUACAAUUAGCUUAGAAUGAAAAUUAAUGAUCAGGAUUGGUAGUACAGAAAAGUAUGUUUGUCACUAUUUGUAGUUAAUUAUUAAAUACAAUUUGUAAUACUUAUUCCUGUAGAAUUGUCUGCUAAAACUUCAGGCCUAGUAAUAUAUUUUUAAAUUUUACUGUCAUUAUUUUAUUGCUCUAUCAACACAUACUUUUUAGAGAUGUGUCAUAGCACUACCAGGCAUUAGAUAUAAUUAAAUGAGGGGAAAAAGAAAAGUAAGUUAUUCCCAACAGCUUGUAUAUUAGAUAGCACAUCAACUUUCACUAGUAAAUGAGACAGCUUAUUUUGGUUGAGCAAAGCUAUGUACAAUAUUUAUAACCCUGCUACACAAGCAAUUUUAGCCUACCUGCUAAUAAAGAGAUCUUGAGGGAAUCCAAAAUCUCAUGUAGCAUAUUCUCAGAUGUAAGUGCCAUCAUUCUCAGAACUCCUUCAUCAGUAUUAAGAUAAAGUCUGGAAUUUGUUGUCUGCUUUUCAUACCAGAUUAAUCAAGCCCUGUCUCUAUUUAUUUCUAAGAGGUCCACAAAUUUCAUACAAGAUCCUAUCUUAAAUCAGGAAUGAUAUGCAUUUGCUCUUCAAAUCAUUUUUUAUGGCUAGGAAUUCACACUUUUCCUGUCUAACACUUUGCAGAUAACAUGAGAAAAUUUCUAUGAAAAUAUCUCCAGACAGUAAAUACUGUAUCUUAUUAAUGUAACUAUUCAUAGAAUUUCAAUAGUUAACUUCUCAUUCAAUUAGGUGAUUUAUGUCACUUUCAGGAGUUAGAAAUAAAAUGCAUAUAGCAAAAAUAAGAGGAUGCAAUGGAUAUAAAAAUCUUUUAAAAAGAAAAUAAUUGUUGCAAAGAAAAGCUAAAUCAAAUAUGGUGAUUUUUAAUUUUCUGUUGCCAAAUGUAAGAAAAACAAUUGAAAAAAUAACCUAAAUAUUCCUGUGGAAUACAAUGUUAGUCAAAAUAAAUCACACAGACAAGCAAGAACUGAUUCCCAAAGCAGUUUUGAAACUACUCUAUUCAAGCAUUUGGUCAUGUCAGUUUCAAUCUAUUUGCUACGUGAAGGUCCUAAUACCAUUUGGCUUGCAUGAUCUUGAUAUUAUCCCAAAUAAACAACUGCUCAAAUAUAUCAGUUAUUAAUCUGAUUUUUAGUUCUCUACAGUAAUUCCAAUCUGGGGAGGGGAGGUAUCCAGCUUCCUUUGUAAAGUGAACCUUCAAAAGCACACAGACUUGCUCUUUGGUGGACAAAUUACUACUUACUCAUUAGUAAAAGAAUAUAUUUACUAUAGAAUGCCUCAUUGAAAUAUUUUUUCAGAAAGUGUUUUUUUUAUGAAAAUAAAUAAUUUUGCCUGAAAUUCCUUCAUCUAGUGUGGGGGAAAAAAAGUUUAACUUCUGAACAGUGGCAUUUUAUGUCAUUAAUGGGAGAAUCUCCUCCUAACUGAGAUCCUAUGGCUUAAACUCUACUGGCAAGAUCUCUGGAAGCUUAUUCAUCAGAGCUAGAACUAGUUAGAGGGCAGCAAGGUACCUAAAAUUCACCUUUUGUGUGUUAAAUAUUUAUCUGCUGACAGUCCUAUGCCUAGUAGGGUGCAAUGCUCCCUACCAAAACUCAAACAGGAAUUUCUCUGAUUAGAUCUAUUCAUGAGAAAAGUCAGUAUUACUAUGAAUAGUCCAAGCAAGAAAUAUUAAAAUAAUGUUGAAAAAUGUUACUGCAGGAAAAAUUAUAUCUUGCUAGCAGCUAGCAUUCAUACAACCAAGUAAUGUCCAACUGACAUCUCUACUCUAAUCCUAAACUUCUAGUAUUCUAUACAAACUAUAUAUAGAAUGAACUACAAUUUUUUAAAGAAACAAACACAAUAAUGCCUCUCGUUAUACUUAAAAGAUAAAAUCAGUUUCUUGCAAAUGUAUUCUUCUAAUUGCUUAAUACCAUCACACUUUGCAGAGCAAGCAUUGUUUCUUCUCCUAAGUCCAUACCAGCUAUCAAAGGAAAGAUAACUUUAUAAGUAGGUUUAAUGCAGUUUUCUCCUUUGAGAACUGCUCUGAAUUUGUUUCUGUUUGUGUAAAUACUUUCAGAUGUCACUUAAAUAUGAAGCCUGAGAUAAACACGCUUUUCACUUUGUUAUGGUUCAAAACUAAUUAAUCAGACUUCUUAGCCAAAACCAGAUACUUUUAAUGAAGUGUCGUGUUGUUUGAGAGUGCGCCUGGAAGAGAGCUUGACUUUACCUUUUCUCUGAGUAACUGUUAAAUAUAACAACCAGCAUCCUAGACACUUGCCUGCAAGUGACUUUGCCUGUACUGAUGAAUGGAAAGUAUUAUUUGUUCUAACUGCUCCUUGCAGAUGCUUUCCCCGUGGUUUCACAGCUUGGUCAUAAGGCAAACCUUUUAAAUAUUUAUUUUAUAUUUUUACAGCUGUUUAAUUGGGGCUGUCCCUACUCUGGUAUUUAUUUGUGAUGUUUGUUUACUCAGAAGGCUUUUAGGUUUGUAGAUGCAAGGUUUUGCAUGACUGAAAGGGCCAGGUACAGUGUACAGUUGAUCACUGGGUAACCCUCCCAAAUGCUGCUGGAGACCACUGGGGUCAAGUGGUGAGAUCAGAGUUGAUGCUUUCCCUGGGACUACUUGCAGCAGCACAAGCUCAGUGGUGGUGGUGGUGGUGCCUUUUAAUGUCAAGUUAAAAUAUAAUUCUACUUUGUAAAGAUAAAAACUGUGAAGCAGAGAGUAACUCUCUUCCAGAAGUGUAUUUUGAGCAGAAUAGAACUGUUUAUUAGUGAGUGUGGCUAGGAAAAGCCAUGAUGGUUUACUAACAGAAAUUCAGUGUAUGGCUGCUCCCUUGCAGCCAAAAGUCACAAGUCAGACACCAAACAUCAUGGGGCUAAAAAAAGAAAAAAUACAUUCCUCCUCAAACAAUGAACUUGAAACUCUACCUUGAUUUUAGAGGCUUUAGAGUUACAUGGGUUUUGAGUUUUAAUAUCUCUAGAUGAGGCAGCUAAGAGCAUGGUGCUGAUUCAGAGCACAAAUUUUGUCUGCUGUCCCCAGGAUGAGACAGCCUGAAUGCAACUAGCAGCCAGCUCUGUCUGAACAGUGAGGUCCUGAUGGAACCCCUAGAAAGCACAGCUGCACAGGCUGCCCAGCAUCCAAAGCACAGUGCUCGAGUCCAAGUACCACAGGCUGGGUGAUAGAGAUCUCUAAAGCUCACAGUUCUGCAGACCUAUGGGAGCAUUAACAAGAAAAGGUUUGAUGUUUAUCCUCAAACAUCAUAAAAUAUCUAGGAAAAAGUACACCAGUUACUGAAGACAUCUGAACAUGCUGAGCAAUUUAAUCUGGCUAUGACCUUUUACAACUGUGAACAUUUGUGGCUCUAGACUGUUCAUAAGAAAAACUCAGUUGUGUAAAAUUCAACCUCCCCUUCCCCACUGCCUUAUGCAUUUCCUAUGACUAUUUUCUUCCACUUCUGUCUGUAUGGAUUUAAUGCAAUUCUACAUUAAAACACAGCUCGUGUGCUGUGCACGUGUGCACAACGUCAAGGCUAUGAGAGAGCAGAAAGCCCUUGUCCUUAAUGAGUAGGGCAUUCACACCCCUGGCCCUGAAUAAUAUAUGUGGUGAAUGACAUGAGUCUAAAUUUCUGUUUUCCUUUACUUGGAUCUAUUACUGUAGGCAUUUUUCCUUUCUAUCUUGUAGCCACCUUCUGUGCUUUCAUCUGAAUAUAACUUCAAGUAAUGGAUUCCACCAGGGAUUUUUUUCCCCCUUUCUCCUUUUCAGUGUAGACAAAAGAGUUAAACAAGAAAAAAAAGAGUUCUGGGCAAAUCAAUGAAGUUGAGGUUAGUGACUUUGAAAAACAAAACCUCCUGUAGUACUGAUACUAGUGGGUAAUGGUAACUUACCAAUUUGUUUCUAUUCCCAUAGUAACUAUUCUAAGUACCAUGGUAACAAACCUAAACAAACAUAAAUAUUAUCUCUCCUUGGUCCCAAAAUUUUCACGUUUAAUGCUGUCCUAAUAAAUAGCUAGAUUAACAGUUCCCCAGCUAUUGUUAACAAAGACAUGCUACAAUAAAUAGAUUCUCAGUGUACCUAACAGUGUUCAAGCAGUUGUGGUGCUUAAUAAAUAGUAUGUAAUUAUAUAUACAUAAUUGCUUUUAUUUAGCAACAUAGGAACAUGUAACAGUAAGUAGCACAUGUCAGUGAAACAGCAUUCUACGGAGACAGGUUGGGUGAACUCACUGGCAUGGCUUAUCAGUCUGUUUGACAGUCUGAAAAGCUAGAGCUGUUUUCCACAUUCAUAUUACCUGUCAGAAGCAUAUUAUGUGAUUAACUUAUGAUUGUAAAGAAAAUAGAUGCCUUUAAAAAUGAUUAUUCUGAUGGAAUUCCAACUCAGAGCCCCUACAGACACUUAGUUCUUUUCUCCUUCAUCUGUUUCACAGUGUUCUGUACAUAUUUUGUUAUUUACCCAAAGUUCAAUUUUUGUUUGGUAGUUUGAUUAUGUCAUACUUUAAUUUUCUAAGACAAAUACACCCUGCUUCUGUUUGGAAACUGAGAACUGAGCUUUCCUGCAUGCACACCCUAAAGGCUCUGAGAGAAGAUGGAGCAGUUGCUUGCAGCAUGCAGCAGCCCAGUGAGAGCUGCCCACUCCUACAGUCUCAGCCCCCGCACAGAGUGUGCUGCACCACUUGCUCAGAGGCGUAGGGCAGCAGCUGCAGGCAGAUGCCAGCAUUUGUAGAGGCAGUUCAUCUCACAGGCGUGCUUUGCUCAGGAUUUUUCUGACCAGGUGACUUGCUAUUUAAACAAAGAGGAAGGCAUCCUUUAGAAGAGCAGCUUGAAAGCAAUAGUUCUCUCUCUUAUUCUUCCCUUAG
This 8949-nucleotide long non-coding RNA is filed under the name Gallus gallus (chicken). RNAcentral describes it as "lncRNA (ENSGALG00010023661.1)". Lineage: Eukaryota; Metazoa; Chordata; Aves; Galliformes; Phasianidae. The record is from RNAcentral.